UAAAAGUUUCAAUGUCACUGACUUAUCUCCUUUUGAUAUAGGACGACCAGUUCUGAGGCCAGAACAUUUUCAAGAGGGAGGGGAUGAUGAGGACAUAGAACCGGACAUCGACGAAUGCUCGACGGAUUGGCACGAACCGGUAACGAGUGACCCGACACCAACAAUCCCGACGGUCAUAGCUGGACCAAUGACCCGUUCACGUACAAGGAAGCUAAGAGAAACAUUCAAUGAAGGAGUUGAGGCCCUG
RNAcentral lists this long non-coding RNA (247 nucleotides) under Capsella rubella. Its description in RNAcentral is "long non-coding RNA (CRUB_LNC000262)". Lineage: Eukaryota; Viridiplantae; Streptophyta; Magnoliopsida; Brassicales; Brassicaceae. The record is from RNAcentral.